Long non-coding RNA from Cyanistes caeruleus (blue tit), 2490 nucleotides. Lineage: Eukaryota; Metazoa; Chordata; Aves; Passeriformes; Paridae. The record is from Ensembl.
CGGACCGGACCAGGCCCGCAGCCUGCGGGCAGGGGCGUGGGACCAAGGCCGGUGCGGUUGGAACAGACCUGUAAGAUCGGCCAGUGCAAUCGUCCAGGCAGCACUGCUGCCACUGUAACACCUAAACCACGCCACCAGAUCAGACGCCUCUUAAAACACCUCCAGGCAAUAGUGACUCCAACUUCCCUGGGCAGCUUAUUCCUGCGCCCGACCAUCCUAAAAAAAAGAUUUUUUCCUGAUCUGGAAAUCUCUCCUGGUACCGCUUAAAGGCACUUCUUUAGUUCUCUCGCUGCAGACACGGCAGAAGAGACCAGUCCCUCACCUCACUACACCCUUCUUACACGUAGUUGUGAGAGCCAUGAGGGCCCCCCUACGCCUCCUCUUCCUGAGACCCUUCCGGAGCCUUGUUCACUUUCUCUGGCUGCUCCUUUUUAGAGUGAAGGUUCCAAAAUGGAACACAGUUCUUGAGUGUUCUGCCCAUCGAGUGGAGGGCACAAGUCUCCAAACCCCCACAGGAGUUCCCUGCAGAGAAAUGGGAUCGAGCAGAGCUGAACAUCACAGAUGGUGUAGCUGUGGUCAGAGAUCAGCAGCAACAUCAAGAUCGUUUAGCUCACUGGGGCUGUAUGUGCAUUUUCAUGAUCUGGAAAUCAUUUAGACUAUUUAAUGCAAUUUCUACUGAAUCAGAUGACAUAAGCAUCAACAUCUGAAGAGCAGUGUUAGGAAAAAACCCUAAAGAAUACAAGUAACUUUAUGUGUUAACAUUAAAGAAAUUAUGCACACUCUUAUCUUGUAAAUUCCUUUACUCUUUUCUUCCGGCUGCCAGUCCCACAGCUGCACUUGUAUCUAUCAACCCUAGCUCAGGAUCACCAGGUCAGUCAGUACUUGGAAACAUUGUAUUUUGCUUUUUGAUCAAAGACGUUCCCAAAAGCAAAAUGCAAAUUAACUCAGUGAAGAAAUUUAAGUCAGAAAAAUUAACUUGCUAAGCAAUUCCUUUAAGUGUCAAACGUUGCAGCACUCUCAAUUUAUAGUACUUGUCACUUCCCAAGCUAGCUUGAGCUGCACAUUCACUUUCUAAAUACUGGAGCUUAGAGCAGUUUAACAAAUGCCAAGUAAUUUGCACCAAAGCUUAUUUAAGCCAAGUAUUCUGAUAUUCUCAGUACAGCAGAAAUGCCACUGUAACCAGUAGAACAUUGUUUUUUUCUUACCAAGUGACCUAAUUCAUACUUGAUCUAUAUGAAGGGCAUGUCUCUGCAGCUGUGUCAGCCAGGAUUACAGGAGACACAUCCCUAUCAAAAACACACAUAGAAGAAAAUCCUUUUCUGCUGUUACUGCAAGUUUUUUUAAAAAUUGCUUUCAAACACAUGUAAGGAGGCAACAUAACUAGCCUGACAGAAAAAUUUUUCCCUUAGAUGCCCUGCUAAAAUACUUACAGAAUUAAAGAAUCAUUGAGGUUGGAAAAGACCUCUAAGAUCAUUGAGUCCAACUUUUACCCCAGCAGCUGCUAAGUCCACCACUUAAACCAUGUCCCAAAGUGCACAUCUUUUAAAUACCACCAGGGAUGGUGAGUCCCCAGCUUCCCAGGGCAGUCUGUGACAGUGCUUGGGAACCCUUCAGGUUAAGAAUUUUUCCUAAUAUCUAAUCUAAAUCUCCCCUUUUGCAACUUGAAGCCAUUUCCUCUUGUCCUGUUCCUUGUUAUUUGAGCAAAGAAGCUGAGAACGUGGCUACAACCUCUUUUCAGGUGCUUGAAGAGAUCAGUAAGGUGUCCUGAGCCUCCUUGUUUCCAGACUAAACACCCACAGCUCCCUCAGCCGCUCCUCAUCAGACUUGUGCUCCAGGCUCUUCCUCAGCUCCGCUGCCCUUCUCUGGACACGACCCAGCACCUCAGUGUCUUUCUUGCAGUGAGGGGCCCAGAACUGGACAUGGCAUUUAAGGCGUGUCCUCACCAGUGACAUGGGGACAAUCCCUGCCCUGGUCCUGCUGGCCCCACUACUGCCAAUCCAGGCCAGGCAGCCAUUGGCCUUCUUGGCUAUCUGGGCACAGCUGGCUUGUGUUCAGCUGCUGUUGACCAGCACCCCCCGAUCAUUUUCCAGACACUCUACCUGCCCCAAGCCUGCUGGGGUUGUUCUGACCCACAUGAAGGACCCAAGGCCAACAGAAGCUGUGAUUCAGUCAUACUUUGAUACAGCAGAACUACAUUUUACAAAAGCAUUUAUUAAUGUAACACCCUUCACAUAGAUUUAACCCCCUUAAUUCUUGAGAAUUAUUUUUAAAGUAAGACUGAUAUGCAGGUAAUGGCAGCAAAUUCUGCUCUUUGAAAAUCACUGAAUACACAAAUUACAUAGUACAUACAACCUGAAAAUAUUAAAAGAAAAGACGUAGACUCAAAUAAUGUGAAUUUAUUUAUACAAAAUGAUGAAUAUCCACAGAAAUAUUUACAACUUCAAACUGUUUUCAGUUACAAAAUAAAAAUUCUAUUCUUCUAUUUAGACA